RNAcentral lists this ribosomal RNA (484 nucleotides) under uncultured bacterium. RNAcentral describes it as "partial 16S ribosomal RNA". It matches the Rfam family "Bacterial small subunit ribosomal RNA", at positions 30 to 507 of the family's 1533-position model. The record is from RNAcentral.
AUUGAACGCUGGCGGCAGGCCUAACACAUGCAAGUCGAGCGGAUGAAGGGAGCUUGCUCCUGGAUUCAGCGGCGGACGGGUGAGUAAUGCCUAGGAAUCUGCCUGGUAGUGGGGGAUAACGUCCGGAAACGGGCGCUAAUACCGCAUACGUCCUGAGGGAGAAAGUGGGGGAUCUUCGGACCUCACGCUAUCAGAUGAGCCUAGGUCGGAUUAGCUAGUUGGUGGGGUAAAGGCCUACCAAGGCGACGAUCCGUAACUGGUCUGAGAGGAUGAUCAGUCACACUGGAACCGAGACACGGUCCAGACUCCUACGGGAGGCAGCAGUGGGGAAUAUUGGACAAUGGGCGAAAGCCUGAUCCAGCCAUGCCGCGUGUGUGAAGAAGGUCUUCGGAUUGUAGAGCACUUUAAGUUGGGAGGAAGGGCAGUAAGUUAAUACCUUGCUGUUUUGACGUUACCAACAGAAUAAGCACCGGCUAACUUCGUG